Ostrea edulis (European flat oyster) is the source of this 570-nucleotide long non-coding RNA. RefSeq lists it as uncharacterized. The transcript has 3 exons. The record is from RefSeq and is a predicted model, not a curated record. NCBI's taxonomy places the organism in Eukaryota, Metazoa, Mollusca, Bivalvia, Ostreida, Ostreidae.
UAUUGAAAUUAAACGUGUGAUGCGAGAAAAAAAACCUAAGGAAUGGAAUUCACGGAAUGUGGCUCAUUGUCAGGUAGCGCAUGAAGACUGAAUAGCACCUUCUACAACGGAGAGGAAGGUGGUAGGUUUCCAACAAUGAAACGGUACAUUGUCAUGUGGGCGUGUCUGCAAGUGGUACUGUCGUUUCCUCCACAAGCUCUGAUCCCGGGAGAAUAUGCCUGUUUAGAUCAACAGAUCGGAGAUGACCAGUGUUCCUUUUACAGAGGUCUAUAUGACGUCAUUGAGGCAGAGUUGUUCUGUCGACACUGGGGCAGACGCUGCUGUCUGUCGUGUAUGGAGAUGAGGAUAGGCCUCGACAGGAAGUCGGUGUAACGACACGCAGAGAUGAAUUCUGUACUUCAACGACGCCAUGGUAUGAUACAUCACAGCUCUUCAUUCAUUUCAGUGCAAGGACUCAAACGACAUGAAAAUACUUGCGUUUUAUUUCUGUUUCAGAAUUAUGAAAGUUUGUUAAAGAUUUCUGUUAUAAUAAUUAUUGUGAAUAAAAAUAAAAUAAAUUGAUCUUUGAAU